ACUACGGGUGGCAGCAGUGAGGAAUAUUGGUCAAUGGCCGGAAGGCUGAACCAGCCAUGCCGCGUGAAGGUCAGUGCCCUAUGGGCGUUAAACUUCUUUUGUGCGGGAGCAAUAAUGGUCACGUGUGGCCAGACGAGAGUACCGUACGAAUAAGCAUCGGCUAACUCCGUGCCAGCAGCCGCGGUAAUACGGGGGAUGCAAGCGUUAUCCGGAUUUAUUGGGGUUAAAGGGUGCGUAGGCUGUGAGGUAAGUCAGCGGUGAAAUGCCCCCGCUCAACGGGGUGAAGUGCCAUUGAUACUGCCUUGCUGGAAUGCGGAUGCCGUGGGAGGAAUGUGUGGUGUAGCGGUGAAAUGCUUAGAUAUCACGAAGAACCCCGAUUGCGAAGGCAGCUUACUAAACUGUGACUGACAUUGAUGCUCGAAAGUGUGGGUAUCAAACAGGAUUAGAUACCCGUGUAGUC
RNAcentral lists this ribosomal RNA (460 nucleotides) under uncultured bacterium. Its description in RNAcentral is "partial 16S ribosomal RNA". It matches the Rfam family "Bacterial small subunit ribosomal RNA", at positions 338 to 795 of the family's 1533-position model. The record is from RNAcentral.